UACGUAGGGUGCGAGCGUUGUCCGGAAUUAUUGGGCGUAAAGGGUAGGUAGGUGGUCUCAUUUGUCUGGGGUGAAAGCCUUGGGCUUAACUCAAGAAGUGCCCCAGAAACGGUGAGACUAGAGUCUUGGAGAGGGUCGUGGAAUUCCCGGUGUAGCGGUGAAAUGCGUAGAGAUCGGGAGGAACACCAGAGGCGAAGGCGGCGACCUGGACAAGUACUGACACUCAACUACGAAAGCGUGGGGAGCAAACAGG
This 253-nucleotide ribosomal RNA is filed under the name uncultured bacterium. RNAcentral describes it as "partial 16S ribosomal RNA". It matches the Rfam family "Bacterial small subunit ribosomal RNA", at positions 524 to 776 of the family's 1533-position model. The record is from RNAcentral.